Arachis duranensis is the source of this 879-nucleotide long non-coding RNA. RefSeq lists it as uncharacterized. The record is from RefSeq and is a predicted model, not a curated record. NCBI's taxonomy places the organism in Eukaryota, Viridiplantae, Streptophyta, Magnoliopsida, Fabales, Fabaceae. The transcript has 6 exons.
UCGAACUAAAGGCUCAAUAUUAAAUAGUAAAUAAGAAAAGCAGGGUAAUAACGCCUCACUUUUGGUACGAUCAUGAUGUGCUAAAAGUUAGGGUGUUACAUCAGGGAUUUGGACCCUGAGGUCGACCGACAAGAGGCACCUCUACAAUUUGUUCAUCCAAGUCCGGCAAGUGGUUUCGGUUCAACCAAGAAUGAGUAGUGGUUUAACUGAAGUGUGUUGGUUGGUGAUUACCAUUUUUGUUGCUGGGUGCAGUGUCAUCUCCCAAAGAUGUUCCUGACUUGAAGAAGCUUGGUGUCGAAGUUGUAGUUUUUCUGAAUGAACCGUAUGAAACGGUGUUGCCGUCAUCAUUGUAUCAUGAUACAAGGGGAAGCACACAGACAAACUUUUGGUGGUUUGAAGUCACUCCUUCAAAGCAUCAGAAUGAGUUUCCAUCAAUGCCUCCCGUAAAUUCAGCUUACUCUAUCCAGUCCGAUGCAGUUGAAAAUGAAUCAUAUCAAAGCUUCCCAAAGUACCCUAGCAGACAGCAAGCCCAGCUGUGAGGAACCACUUCAUUACACGGUUGUUGUACGUUGGAGAUUUAGACUCUGUUGUCAACGAGAGGCACCGCCACUAUUUGUUCAUCCAAGUCCGACUAGGGGUUUCAGUUCAACCAGGAACGAGAAAUCACGAUGAUGAUGAAAGGAAGCUUGACGAAAGAAAGAGAAGAGGGUGGCGAUGAUGGAAAUUCAGCUUACUCUGUUCAGUCCGAUGCAAUUGAAUAUGAAUCAUAUAAAAAGCUCCCCAUAGUACUGUACCCAAACACAUAUUGCGCAUACUCUUCCUGUUUCACUAAAUAACAUUGGAGGUGUAUUCAUGGGAGCCUGUUCUGUAUUAAUAGAA